Molecule: ribosomal RNA, 472 nt
Filed under: uncultured soil bacterium
Lineage: Bacteria
Description: bacterial SSU rRNA
Rfam family: Bacterial small subunit ribosomal RNA
Source: RNAcentral
AGAGUUUGAUCCUGGCUCAGAGCGAACGCUGGCGGCAGGCUUAACACAUGCAAGUCGAGCGGGUGUAGCAAUACAUCAGCGGCAGACGGGUGAGUAACGCGUGGGAACGUACCUUUUGGUUCGGAACAACACAGGGAAACUUGUGCUAAUACCGGAUAAGCCCUUACGGGGAAAGAUUUAUCGCCGAAAGAUCGGCCCGCGUCUGAUUAGCUAGUUGGUGAGGUAAUGGCUCACCAAGGCGACGAUCAGUAGCUGGUCUGAGAGGAUGAUCAGCCACAUUGGGACUGAGACACGGCCCAAACUCCUACGGGAGGCAGCAGUGGGGAAUAUUGGACAAUGGGGGCAACCCUGAUCCAGCCAUGCCGCGUGAGUGAUGAAGGCCCUAGGGUUGUAAAGCUCUUUUGUGCGGGAAGAUAAUGACGGUACCGCAAGAAUAAGCCCCGGCUAACUUCGUGCCAGCAGCCGCGGUAAU